UCUUUGACCCACAAUUCGACUAUGAUUUCACCAAUUUGAGAGACACCGAGACUUAUUACAGAGGUGGAGAGGUGUAUGAACGCCCAUGUGGUUGGCAGCGUUUUGCCCUCAAGGUCCAUGAUAAGUAUGGUGAAAAUACCUGGCUGGGAAACAGAUACCGCAGCACAGAGUCAGUGCCAGGAGAGUGGCCUGUGUCCUACCAUGGGACAUCCAGGGCAGGUGCUGAAGGCAUCAUCGCAGGAUUCUACAAGCCAGGCAAUGACAAG
Long non-coding RNA from Micropterus dolomieu (smallmouth bass), 266 nucleotides. RefSeq lists it as uncharacterized. Lineage: Eukaryota; Metazoa; Chordata; Actinopteri; Centrarchiformes; Centrarchidae. The record is from RefSeq and is a predicted model, not a curated record. The transcript has 3 exons.